AUCUUGGCAGGGUGCAAUGUGGUGUUUGGGAGGGUCCAUUCGUGCCUGGAGCUCUGGUGUCCAAGUCCCCCUGACCGGGGCCAUCGCCCAUUGAGGGUGCUAGGCCUGUUGGGUAGGGCUGCGUCGCCGAUCCGGGCGCGUUGGGUCCCUUCCUAGGAGUCGGGUUGCUUGAGAGUGCAGCCCAAAGUGGGUGGUAAACUCCACCUAAGGCUAAAUACUUUCCACGAGACCGAUAGCAAACAAGUACCGUGAGGGAAAGUUGCAAAGAACUUUGAAGAGAGAGUUCAAGAGUGCGUGAAACCGUUCGGAGGUAAACGGGUGGGAGCGCGAAGGUCGAACGGAUGGGGAGGGAUUCAACUUGGCGUGGCGGCUGGCCUGCCUGGAUCGCGUGUGGGCAUGUCAACUUACCCUUAACGGGGAGGUUCGGCUGCCCCGCGUUCUGCCGGUGUCCAGUCUGCCGUGCCUCGCGCAUUUCCCUGUUCCCCCUCUCCUAGUAGGACGCCGCGACCGGCUGUCGAGGGGAGCCCAGGAGCUGGUUGGAGCAUCUGCGCGAACGAGUGUGGGAACCCAGUUCUCUGCGUCCGGUCUGUCUGUCUCCUUCCGUUCUGCGGGUCGCUCCCUCCGGCCGAGGAAUUGUGUGAGAGGUGGGCCCUCAUGGUCCCUCGUCCAUGAACGCGUCCCCGAUCUGUCGGAGCGGGUCGAAAGAUCCCAACGGGUGGCGGCGGGUGGCCUUGCGCCGGUCUGACGACCGUGCGCUCGGACUCUGCGCGUCAGCCGCCGUCGGUCAGGGUGCGGAGUCUCGGUUUGGACGCUGGGGGUCGGCGCCGCGUAGAUCGGUUUCCCUCCCGACCGGUCUUGAAACACGGACCAAGAAGUCCAAUGGGUGGGAGAGUCUUCGGGGCAUGAUUGAACCCUUGGAUGGCGCAAUUAAAGUGAAGGUGGGCUUGCGCGCCGCGUGUGCGCGUCCCCUCAUUGGGUUGCGCGCGCGUCGGCUGCCGCCCGCUGUAGUGGGAUCCCCCGUCUGUUGGCGAGGGCGCACCACU
Molecule: ribosomal RNA, 1043 nt
Filed under: Orodesminus sp. MPE04222
Lineage: Eukaryota; Metazoa; Arthropoda; Diplopoda; Polydesmida; Oxydesmidae
Description: partial large subunit ribosomal RNA
Rfam family: Eukaryotic large subunit ribosomal RNA
Source: RNAcentral